UGAGCAGAGUCCAUGAUCCCAGGUUC
This 26-nucleotide non-coding RNA is filed under the name Homo sapiens (human). The record is from RNAcentral. Lineage: Eukaryota; Metazoa; Chordata; Mammalia; Primates; Hominidae.